UUUCCGUAGGUGAACCUGCGGAAGGAUCAUUCUUGAAGUAGAAGUUCACUUCUAGCUCAUAUGUGCACCGUUAUUCGCCAUUUGGCAACCUAUAACUGGGUUGUCGAAAGGCACAUUUUUAGUUAACCUUAUUUUAAACCAUACCAUAACUCAUCAACUGUACAACUUUUAGCAAUGGAUCUCUAGGCUCUCGCAUCGAUGAAGAACGCAGC
RNAcentral lists this unclassified non-coding RNA (212 nucleotides) under uncultured fungus. RNAcentral's name for it is "sequence contains ITS1, 5.8S rRNA gene". The stretch from base 164 to 212 matches the Rfam family "5.8S ribosomal RNA", at positions 1 to 49 of the family's 154-position model. The record is from RNAcentral. Lineage: Eukaryota; Fungi.